GAUGAACGCUAGCGGCAGGCUUAACACAUGCAAGUCGAGGGGUAUAGUUCUUCGGAACUAGAGACCGGCGCACGGGUGCGUAACGCGUAUGCAAUCUACCUUUUGCAGAGGGAUAGCCCAGAGAAAUUUGGAUUAAUACCUCAUAGUAUGUGAGAAUGGCAUCAUUUUCACAUUAAAGUCACAACGGCAAAAGAUGAGCAUGCGUCCCAUUAGCUUGUUGGUAAGGUAACGGCUUACCAAGACAAUGAUGGGUAGGGGUCCUGAGAGGGAGAUCCCCCACACUGGUACUGAGACACGGACCAGACUCCUACGGGAGGCAGCAGUGAGGAAUAUUGGUCAAUGGGCGCAAGCCUGAACCAGCCAUGCCGCGUGCAGGAAGAAGCAUCUAUGGUGUGUAAACUGCUUUUAUACAUGAAGAAACAACUCUACGUGUAGAGUCUUGACGGUACUGUAAGAAUAAGGACCGGNUAACU
Molecule: ribosomal RNA, 473 nt
Filed under: uncultured bacterium
Lineage: Bacteria
Description: bacterial SSU rRNA
Rfam family: Bacterial small subunit ribosomal RNA
Source: RNAcentral